GAUGAUUUAGACAGGACAGUGUUGUGGAGAUGAUUUUGACAGGACAGUGUUGUGGAGAUGAGUUUUGACAGGACAGUGUUGUGGAGAUGAGUUUUGACAGGACAGUGUUGUGGAGAUGAGUUUUGACAGGACAGUGUUGUGGAGAUGAGUUUAGACAGGACAGUGUUGUGGAGAUGAUUCCCAGGAAUGUCCGGAGUGGAGAUUCUCAGAGGCUGGUGUAUUCUGUGGUUGUCAACAACAACAACAACAUCAACAAGAAGUCAUUAAUCUCAUCAACGUUUCAUUUCCACAAUGGUUCAUGCUUACUUCAGUAAAGUGUAUAUAUUACACAGUAUGCAGUACUAGGGCUGGGGGCGGGGCUAGAUCUGAAACAUCGCUCCCCGAAUGACAGUCGAUAUACCAUAUUUGACUAUACACCGGUAUUGAUGCAUGGACCAGUUUGGGUUUUUACUUCACCUUCUAUAAAAAGGUAUUUCAAUGUUAGGUUUGUUAAAUUACACCCUACUCCGCUGUGUAUAACAUCCGUGUUUAUAGUUUACUCUGCUACUUGAGUCAUCUCUCUCCUCUCCAUGCCGCUUUCCACACAGAUCUAGCCCCGCCCCCUGUCACUCGGGGAGCGAUGUUUCAGAUCUAGUCCCGCCCCCUGUCACUCGGGGAGCGAUGUUUCAGAUCUAGCCCCGCCCCCUGUCACUCGGGGAGCGAUGUUUCAGAUCUAGCCCCGCCCCCUGUCACUCGGGGGAGCGAUGUUUCAGAUCUAGUCCCGCCCCCUGUCACUCGGGGAGCGAUGUUUCAGAUCUAGCCCCGCCCCCUGUCACUCGGGGAGCGAUGUUUCAGAUCUAGCCCCGCCCCCUGUCACUCGGGGAGCGAUGUUUCAGAUCUAGCCCCGCCCCCUGUCACUCGGGGAGCGAUGUUUGAGAGCUCCAUCAUGUCCAUCAAAGAAAGCAUUUUGGCUGAUGAGUUGGACAAAGAGUUUCAUGAGCAGAUAAUGCUGGGGAAUCUGAAUGUGCUGACCUAUAACACCUUCUGCUUUAAUGGAGCCUCUGGGUCUCCGGUUAUAAAUCCCAGUCAUUGUCAAGUAAUUAAUGGCAUCCCAGUAUAUGGCUGCCAGGUGAUUGCCAUGCAUACUGGUGUUUUUUUGUACAAAUGUAAGGAAACUCAAGAAACUCAGAGUGUGAUUGAAUAUGCAAUCCCUCUCAGGACCAUUCUAGAAAACGUAUUGGUCUACUUGGUGGACACAAACAAUGUUCAAAUGUUGGCAAGAUUCACCGAUGUUGCCAUGGAAAACCCACAUCUGUUUGAGCUCAUUGCCUGUCUUAUCAUCGAGAUGACACACACAUUGCAGCCUGGAUACUCUGAUAUCCUUGACGGAAUAUGGAAGGCAAUAUCAAAAAGUCGUAAAAGAGAUGAGAUGCAGAAAUUGAUCAUUGAAAUAAGUGUACAUCAAGGAUCGAAUUGA
This is a long non-coding RNA of Oncorhynchus mykiss (rainbow trout), 1456 nucleotides long. The record is from Ensembl. NCBI's taxonomy places the organism in Eukaryota, Metazoa, Chordata, Actinopteri, Salmoniformes, Salmonidae.